GCUCACCUCUUCCCAUUCCGAACAGAGAAGUUAAGCCCGUUAGCGCAGAUGGUACUGCUAUUUGUGGGAGAGUAUGUCACCGCCUUUU
RNAcentral lists this ribosomal RNA (88 nucleotides) under Salegentibacter salegens. Lineage: Bacteria; Pseudomonadati; Bacteroidota; Flavobacteriia; Flavobacteriales; Flavobacteriaceae. The record is from RNAcentral.